GAUGAACGCUGGCGGCGUGCUUAACACAUGCGAGUCGAACGAGAAGUGAAGACGGAAACCUUCGGGCGGAAGGCUUUAUUUCGAGUGGCGGACGGGUGAGUAACGCGUGGGUAACCUGCCUCAUACAGGGGGAUAACAGUUGGAAACGACUGUUAAUACCGCAUAAGACCACAGCACCGCAUGGUGCGGGGGUAAAAACUCCGGUGGUAUGAGAUGGACCCGCGUUCGAUUAGCCAGUUGGCGGGGUAACGGCCCACCAAAGCGACGAUCGAUAGCCGAUCUGAGAGGAUGACCGGCCACAUUGGGACUGGGACACGGCCCAAACUCCUACGGGAGGCAGCAGUGGGGAAUAUUGCACAAUGGGGGAAACCCUGAUGCAGCGACGCCGCGUGAGUGAAGAAGUAUUUCGGUAUGUAAAGCUCUAUCAGCAGGGAAGAAAAUGACGGUACCUGAGGAAGAAGCCCCGGCUAACUACGUG
This 478-nucleotide ribosomal RNA is filed under the name uncultured bacterium. Its description in RNAcentral is "partial 16S ribosomal RNA". It matches the Rfam family "Bacterial small subunit ribosomal RNA", at positions 28 to 507 of the family's 1533-position model. The record is from RNAcentral.